RNAcentral lists this ribosomal RNA (253 nucleotides) under uncultured bacterium. RNAcentral describes it as "partial 16S ribosomal RNA". It matches the Rfam family "Bacterial small subunit ribosomal RNA", at positions 524 to 776 of the family's 1533-position model. The record is from RNAcentral.
UACGGGGGGGGCAAGCAUUGUUCGGAAUUACUGGGCGUAAAGGGCUCGUAGGUGGCCAACUAAGUCAGACGUGAAAUCCCUCGGCUUAACCGGGGAACUGCGUCUGAUACUGGAUGGCUUGAGUUCGGGAGAGGGAUGCGGAAUUCCAGGUGUAGCGGUGAAAUGCGUAGAUAUCUGGAGGAACACCGGUGGCGAAGGCGGCAUCCUGGACCGACACUGACGCUGAGGAGCGAAAGCCAGGGGAGCAAACGGG